AUACUUACCUGGACGGGGUCAAUAGGCGAUCAAUAAGACCCAUGGCCUAGGUUGGUGACCUCCAUUGCACUUUGGAGGGGUGCCAAUCUAAGGUCGGCCCAAGUGGUCGAGCCUACGUCAUAAUUUGUUGCUGUGAGGGCCUGUGUUCGCGCGGCCCCUGC
This 161-nucleotide small nuclear RNA is filed under the name Solanum lycopersicum (tomato). RNAcentral's name for it is "U1 spliceosomal RNA". It matches the Rfam family "U1 spliceosomal RNA". Rfam says of the family: U1 is a small nuclear RNA (snRNA) component of the spliceosome (involved in pre-mRNA splicing). Its 5' end forms complementary base pairs with the 5' splice junction, thus defining the 5' donor site of an intron. Lineage: Eukaryota; Viridiplantae; Streptophyta; Magnoliopsida; Solanales; Solanaceae. The record is from Rfam by way of RNAcentral.